GCACAAAUCGUGCCUAUUCUAUACUGGUACAGUGACAGAUAUGCUUCAAGGUGGAAGGAGAUGGAAAACAAAUUUUUUUUCUAGGAUUCCCAUCCAAGUUGUGAUUGCUGAUAAGGGCUUGAUUAAUCAUAUGGAAAGAUUGGGGAUCCAUUGGCUGACUCAUACACUUAAGGUUAGGGAAAAGAUUAUCAAUUUAUGUCAAUUACAAAAUAUGUUAAGAAUCUUCAGAUGGUUUGCAUAUGAUUCUGACUUCAGCCCAAACAGAUAUGUUAGUUUUAAGUCCUGGUCAUCCUGUGGACUCACAACUUACCUUUCACUUACUGAAAAUAAUGUUAUGUGUAGUUUUGAUUCAUUGCAGGAAAAACAUGGGCUGGAACGUAAUGAAUUUCACAGGUAUCUGCAGGUACGAUCGUACAUCUCUAGCGAAUGUAAGAUGACUGAUCUAUCUGAGGUGGAGAUGGAAUUUUAUCGUAUCUUAAAAAAUUCUAUUAGUAACAUACCUUCCAAAUCCAUUUCUAAAAUAUAUAAUGCACUUUCUCUUUCGUGCUCAGACAACACUCUGUACAUUAAAUGCAAAUGGGAGAAAGAAUCAAAAUCAAAUUUAUCAGCAGAGGCUUGGACCAGCAUCCUGUCAUCUCAGUGGUGGACCUCCAGUUCAAUGACCUGGAGAGAACACGGCUGGAAAAAUAUUAUAAGAUACUUUAAAACUCCAUACCAAGAACAGUAUAAAGGGGAUGACAGGCCAUGCUGGAGACGAUGUGGUUCAACUUCCGCAAACCACUUUCAUAUCUUCUGGGACUGCCCCAGUCUACUGUCAUUCUGGAGGGGUGUGCAGAUGUGUUUGAGCACUGUGUUUGAUACUCCAAUUCCCCUUUGCUUUACAGUUUUAUAUCUGGGUUUUACACCUUUUAUGAAAUGCAAGUCUGAGAUAAAACUUAUGCAGCUACUUUUAGUAGCUUGUAAAAAAGCAAUAACAAGGAGAUGGCCGAGUCCAACUCAGCCUACUCUGGAUGACUGGGUUGGAAUUGUUUUAGAAAUAUUUAGGAUGGAAAAAUUGACAUAUCAAUUCAGGAUUCAAAAGGAAAAAUUUUAUCAUAGUUGGAAUAAAUGGAUCCAAUUCAUUGCCACAUCUAGACAGAAUUUGUUUUGAUACCAAGAGUUUACAAUGUCUGUUUUUUCUCUCUUUUUUUUUUUAAUUUUAUAUAUGCAUAUCUAUUUAUGGAUGUAUAGAUAUAUAAAUAUUUGCACACGAGUGUGUAGGUAUGUGUGUAUAUGUAUAUAAAUAGAUAUGGGUAUGCGUGCAUGAGUAUAUAUACAUAUAUAUAUUCUUACCUUGAAAGGUAUUGACAAGGAGUGGAACUCUGAUCUCCCUGUUUAUGGAAAGAGUUAUACCACAAGUUCUGUGUGAC
This 1409-nucleotide long non-coding RNA is filed under the name Oryzias javanicus (javanese ricefish). Its description in RNAcentral is "lncRNA (ENSOJAG00000008799.1)". Lineage: Eukaryota; Metazoa; Chordata; Actinopteri; Beloniformes; Adrianichthyidae. The record is from RNAcentral.